This 492-nucleotide ribosomal RNA is filed under the name uncultured bacterium. RNAcentral describes it as "partial 16S ribosomal RNA". It matches the Rfam family "Bacterial small subunit ribosomal RNA", at positions 29 to 507 of the family's 1533-position model. The record is from RNAcentral.
AGUGAACGCUGGCGGUAGGCCUAACACAUGCAAGUCGAACGGCAGCACAGUAAGAGCUUGCUCUUACGGGUGGCGAGUGGCGGACGGGUGAGGAAUACAUCGGAAUCUACUUUUUCGCGGGGGAUAACGUAGUGAAACUUACGCUAAUACCGCAUACGACCUACGGGUGAAAGCAGGGGAUCUUCGGACCUUGCGCGAUUGAAUGAGCCGAUGUCGGAUUAGCUAGUUGGCGGGGUAAAGGCCCACCAAGGCGACGAUCCGUAGCUGGUCUGAGAGGAUGAUCAGCCACACUGGAACUGAGACACGGUCCAGACUCCUACGGGAGGCAGCAGUGGGGAAUAUUGGACAAUGGGCGCAAGCCUGAUCCAGCCAUACCGCGUGGGUGAAGAAGGCCUUCGGGUUGUAAAGCCCUUUUGUUGGGAAAGAAAAGCAGCAGGUUAAUACCCCGCUGUUCUGACGGUACCCAAAGAAUAAGCACCGGCUAACUUCGUG